Long non-coding RNA from Myripristis murdjan (pinecone soldierfish), 1972 nucleotides. RefSeq lists it as uncharacterized. The transcript has 2 exons. NCBI's taxonomy places the organism in Eukaryota, Metazoa, Chordata, Actinopteri, Holocentriformes, Holocentridae. The record is from RefSeq and is a predicted model, not a curated record.
AGCAAUUUUAGGGAUAGCGCAUGAAACACGCCCACUGACACACCUCCAGGCCCAAAUGACAGAGUCGGCAUAAGGGAUAGCGGGUAGUGUGGGCGCAAGAUACCAUUUAGGAAGUGGAAGUUCCUAAAUCCGCAAUUUGCGGGUAGCGGGUAGUGGCAGCGGGUAGCGGGUAGCACAAGAUAGGGCCCAAAGGUUUUAGGUAAGCUUUCUUAUUUUCAGUCAGGUAGCAGACAGUAAGAGUGAGGAUGAUUUAAAAAAGGAAAGUCUUUUUGCAUUCACUUUUCUGUAGAUUUUCAGUUUUGAGUCCAAUUAAUAAAGAUAUCAGCGUGCAUGCUAUUCUUGGCGUUACCAUCGAAGAGUGCGGUGCAAUAUCAAACUUCACUCACUUUAACUCAAAGAACAGAAAAAAAUAAACUUUGUCCCACUCAGCCUGCGCUCCACUAUUCAUUUCUGUUUUGUAGUCAGCCUCUGUUUUAUGGUAGGGGCUAUUCCCAAUUGAAUGUUUUAUUCACUGUUAGCACUGUAUUGUAUGUGAUGGCUGUUUAUGUAGGCAGCCUGGCCCCACAAGCCGCCGCUGCCCAUGUGUCUGUUGGCAGACCGGGAGGAAAGAGUCGAGUAGGACGGACCUCCCCAUCGCAUUUAAACAGCCUCUGCAUGUCGACGCAGAUCGGGCAGCAUCCAGAACUAAAGCACUGGGGGUUUACUAUGAAAUAUGUGGCAGGUGCAGGCACAUUGCUAUUUAAAUGGUCCUUGAGCUGAACAAUACAUACAUGCUCCAAACUGUGACUAGCGGUUUAGAUUUUUUACUUGAACUGUUCCAAAAUGUCAGCUGAUCCAUAGUUAAAAACUCCAAACAUAGGGAAUAAUAUUUAACAUACAUUUAAACAUUCCUGUAAACAUUCAAAGACUAUUCAGCACUAGAGAUGGGCCAUACGCUCUGAGGGGAACACUGAUUUUAAAGCAACCUAGAGUUCGCACCACUCUGAAAACCCUGUGCAUAUCAGUUUGUGGAGUGAAACAGUGGAAUGGUCUUCCUGAUAAUGUUAAACUAAGCAGAAAUGUCUUACUUUUUAAAAAACGGUUCAAAUUCAUGAUAUUAGAAAAAUACAGAUUAGAAGGAUAGUUGAUUACUGCUGUUAGAUCCAGUCGGGUACCAAGCAUGACGAUGUUAUUUGUGACAGGGAAUAGGGCCUAUGUUCCCCAAAAUCCCACUCCUCACCUGACUCUGAAGGCAACCUUGGUAGGUGGGUGUGGAGAGGUAGCAGCUCCACCCACAGACCAAUCUCCCAAUUUGCGGCUCACGGCAGGUGUAUAUAAAGGGGUUAGCUCAUCAGCCAGUAUGCAAUGCUGGUUGAUGGGCUGCCCUGGUGAUUUCUCCUGCUGUGAGCUGCCAAUUGAGCUGUGUGGCCCCAGUUGGGAACAAGACAUGAGUUCUCCCUCCAGCAGAGGUUUGAGUCUGUUCUAGGACUGGUAAGUAGGGUGCUUGGUGGCACCUGAGGUAAAUUUAUUAGAUAUAUAUACUGUAGCACUGUAGGAUAACCAUUGUGUUUUCUCAUAGGUUCCUGCAGUUGCUGUUUUCUGCCUCCCAGUUUUUGAUAUGUUGUCCAUGUGAACCUCUGGUAUACCUGCUGUCGUUCUUAAGAUAAUUCUUGUACUUUUAUUGGAGUGUUGUGUUUUUCACAGGUUGUGAGUGCCGCCAGGUGGGGUCAGCCACCCGGGUGAGGUCUCCUUCACUGUGUUGCUGUGGCUUGGAGCACUGGGCACCUUUUUUUCUCUUUUGUUUUAGUUUGCUGUGUGUGUGUGUGAGUGUAUGCACCCCCGGACACUCUUCCCCUUUAAAACCUGCCCCCAUCUUUUCGGCGGCCUCAGCCAUAACCUUGUUCCAGUGUGUUUUAGUGGCACAUGAUAUUUUUAGCUUGUGGAUCUGUUUAAAAUAAUUGCUCAUUGUAAUAAAAUAUAUCUUUAUACGUAC